ACGGUCUCCGCCAUGACCUAAGGAACAAUUAUGCCAAGCUUUAUCAAGAUUGGUCAGACGGUUUUGGUUUGUACUUACAUACUCUUGACAUUGUGCUUUCUAUUAUAAGAUACUGGUAGAUAUAGUUUUGUUUUUAGUUUUAGAAAAAAUACAAUGCAUAUACAAAUGUUUAAGGUUUGUAUGUUUGUAAAGUGGUUAGGUUUCUAAAAUUUGUUAGGUUUGUAUGUUCAGUUGAUAACUUAGUUCUAAGGUGUUAGUGUUUGUUGGUUGUGCACCAGGCCUACGUGUAAGCGAGGAGUUAAAUUAUUAUUUAUGCUAAUUAAUCCUAGUGCGGUGGGGAUAUCAUGAAUAUUUUUGUUCACGUUUUGAUUGACUGAUAUUUGGGUCUAAAAAUAUCGAUGGUUAAGAUUUUUAGAAAUACAUAGGGAUAUUUGUGAUGUGUAAGGAAUGUUUUAAGCAUUGGUGACAAAAAAAAAUCUUUUGACAUCUUCAAAAUGUGAACAGCCAACACGGCACUGCAAAAAGCAUUGUACCGCUUGUUUAUUCAUAUUCGGUCAUUAUAUUUUUAAAAAACUCAUUGCUUGUAAGUUUAUUUGGGUGCGUUUUUUUUAUGUAUAUCUGGGUUUGUUAUUUUUCGGCACUUGUUAAAAUGUGUGAAGACAUGAAAGUCUAUACAGUGUGGUUUAUUCUAAAUGAUCUUAUAUGUAUUUUUUAAAAUUGCUAUAGAUAUAUCAUGUAUUAUAAACAUAACUGUACUCAUCUCACAGAUUAAACAAGUCCAUCUCGUAUUAGAGAUGAUAGUUCCCUUUUUUUUGUUUGAUGUGUAAGAUAUUUAUAUUUUGUAUUUCAUUAAUCUAUUAAAAGCCAUGUCAAGUAAA
This is a non-coding RNA of Biomphalaria pfeifferi, 878 nucleotides long. The record is from the annotation of a GenBank genome assembly. NCBI's taxonomy places the organism in Eukaryota, Metazoa, Mollusca, Gastropoda, Planorbidae.